Molecule: ribosomal RNA, 253 nt
Filed under: uncultured bacterium
Lineage: Bacteria
Description: partial 16S ribosomal RNA
Rfam family: Bacterial small subunit ribosomal RNA
Source: RNAcentral
UACAGAGGUCCCAAGCGUUGUUCGGAUUCAUUGGGCGUAAAGGGCGCGUAGGCGGCGCGGUAAGUCACCUGUGAAAUCUCCUGGCUCAACUGGGAGCUUGCAGGCGAAACUGCCGUGCUGGAGUGUGGGAGAGGUGCGUGGAAUUCCUGGUGUAGCGGUGAAAUGCGUAGAUAUCAGGAGGAACACCUGUGGCGAAAGCGGCGCACUGGACCACAACUGACGCUGAGGCGCGAAAGCUAGGGGAGCAAACAGG